GAUCCUGGCUCAGGAUGAACGCUAGCGACAGGCUUAACACAUGCAAGUCGAGGGGCAGCACGGUGUAGCAAUACACUGGUGGCGACCGGCGCACGGGUGAGUAACACGUGUGCAACCAACCCCGUACCGGGAGAUAACCCGCGGAAACGUGGACUAACAUCCCAUAACACUCUAGAGCCGCAUGGUUCUGGAUUUAAAAUUCCGGUGGUACGGGACGGGCACGCGCGACAUUAGGUAGUUGGCGGGGUAACGGCCCACCAAGG
RNAcentral lists this ribosomal RNA (263 nucleotides) under uncultured bacterium. RNAcentral's name for it is "partial 16S ribosomal RNA". It matches the Rfam family "Bacterial small subunit ribosomal RNA", at positions 15 to 273 of the family's 1533-position model. The record is from RNAcentral.